GAUGAACGCUAGCGGGAGGCCUAAUACAUGCAAGUCGAACGGUAACAGGUAGCAAUACGCUGACGAGUGGCGCACGGGUGCGUAACGCGUACACAAUCUGCCUUAUACUGGGGCAUAGCCUUUGGAAACGAAGAAUAAUUCCCCAUAACAUAUAGAAGAGGCAUCUCUUUUAUAUUAAAGCUCAGGCGGUAUAAGAUGAGUGUGCGUCCGAUUAGGUAGUUGGUGAGGUAACGGCUCACCAAGCCAACGAUCGGUAGCUGGUCUGAGAGGAUGAUCAGCCACACGGGCACUGAGACACGGGCCCGACUCCUACGGGAGGCAGCAGUAGGGAAUAUUGGACAAUGGGCGCAAGCCUGAUCCAGCCAUCCCGCGUGAAGGAUGAAGGUCCUCUGGAUUGUAAACUUCUUUUCUUCGGGAUAAAACUGGGUUACUCCUCAGCUUGAAGGUACCGAAGGAAUAAGCACCGGCUAACUCCGUGCCAGCAGCCGCGGUAAAACG
RNAcentral lists this ribosomal RNA (498 nucleotides) under uncultured bacterium. Its description in RNAcentral is "bacterial SSU rRNA". It matches the Rfam family "Bacterial small subunit ribosomal RNA", at positions 28 to 527 of the family's 1533-position model. The record is from RNAcentral.